RNAcentral lists this long non-coding RNA (4490 nucleotides) under Gallus gallus (chicken). RNAcentral's name for it is "lncRNA (ENSGALG00010026829.1)". Lineage: Eukaryota; Metazoa; Chordata; Aves; Galliformes; Phasianidae. The record is from RNAcentral.
GGAAACUGAGUUUUGUUCUACGUAGUAAGCACCCAUCUUAACCCUGCUGGAGCAGAACAGCCCUUUUCCUAGCAGAAACCAGAGCUGUUGUUGAUUAAUGUCUUGCUGAAAACUAAGUCUUUGCCAUCUGUUCCGCCCCCUCACUACGAAUGCCACUCUCAUUAUGUUGAUUAUGUAAUUAAAAAUGAAAAUAUAUUUUGGUAAGAGUGCUGCAUAGGCAUCUGUGCUUAUUCUUCUGUUCCUGUUCACUGCCCCCUGCCCCCGUCCCAUACAGAAGGGAAAAGACAACAAUUGUUCCACUCGGCAGUGGCUUUAUAUUGAAGCUGUCGCACUGGCUGCCAGACUGGUGCACGUCAUGGGAGCAGCCACUCGAGCCCCGCUGUGUCUGAGCUGCGGCUCCUUCGGAAACCCCGGCUAUUAGGUUCAUGAGAAAUCCGUGGCAGGAAGCUGACCCUUAAACCAAGGCUCCUUUAAGUUCUUGUGAUGGGUUAACUUGAAUCCAGAACAUGAAAAGAGAAGAGAAAGAGGCCUGGCUACUUCAUAAGAGAUAGUGUGACCUCUGAGAUCAGCGAGGCUGCUCAUGUUACAAAUAUGGCCUGUCUAUCUAAGGACCGAGGAAGAGAAAGAGAGGAGGGGUAGCCUUCUUGUAAGUGGGUUAGAGCAAUUACUGAGGUCUCUUACAGCAAAUUAAGUCGUUAGUGUGAGUCACGUUCCCUUUUUUCCUCUCUGCUGCCAAGUUUUAAGCAGUAACCAGACAGGGAGGAAAAAAAGGGAAAAGCAACAAUGGAGAAGAGUUGAACUGAAACAACCCUUCAUUCAGGGUAUUGUUUGACAUUUUAGUUCUGAUUGUACAUAGAGAUAAAGGACCUAUAAAUAUCCUGUCUGCUGAAAUUCCUUAUAACAACAUCGCCUGUCAGCUGAACAAAUAGGUUAGGUUCUCUAAAUACUACCUAAUUACACAUGUAAAUACAAAUUACUGAUUGUAUCCCUGCACCGCGUGGAAUGAAGGCCUGAUCACUGGGAGGAACAUUAAUCUCCUGUUUUACUGAGAUGCCCCAGUCCCAGGAGAGCAAAUGGCACAUACAGCUAUUACUGCUGAAUUGGUGCAAGUUCCGAGAUCAGACUGAAGCAAGCAAGGAGAUAUUUAUCUGGCUGAUGAACGUAGAUGAAAGCCUCUUCUGACGCUUCUGAAAGUAUCUCAGCAUCUAGUUCUGUUUAACAAAUGGCUGGAAGCUUUUCUACUCUGCUUCAGAGCUUUUAAUGAAGCAUUGUGAUUCCCAUUGUGGUCGACUGUUUGACAGUUUUAUUAUUACUGGUAUGCAUAGCGUUUUUUAAUGUUUGACAGCUGGAGAAAGAAGUAUUUUGUGCAUUCAAAUUUUUAGUACAAAGCUGCUGUUUUCUAUUCUGCCUUUGCCUUUGUCUCUUAUUGCUGAUGCGAAUCAAUGAAAGACAGAACUGAUGAAAUUACAUUUGUUUACUUUUUACUUGAUAAUAAUAAGACACAGCCAGCCCUUUGUAAAAGACAGAAAUGGGGGAUGUGAAUGUUUCUACAGUAUUUCUGUGUGUUUUUUUUUUCUUAUAGCAUAAAGGCAUUUAUUUGUUUCUUAUGUCUUGAUUUAUAAGAUAAUGUGCACUUCCUAAUGUAUGUGGAAUAAGAAUGGAGCAAUGAAUGACAGUUAGCAAUGGAUUCCACUUGAAAAUCUCUUAGCUUGUUAUUUUUAUUAAUUCAACAGCAUAAACGCUCGUAGCACAUCACAAAACAAACACCAAGAUAGUUCUGUGAUUCACAGUAGGACUGCCUCUGAUCACUGCUGUAUAUUUGUAUGUAGCUACACAAAAAAGUCCAGUCCACUGGCUUUGGCUUUAUACACACGUGAUUGUUACCAGGCCCCAGCUUUGAUAUAUUGGUACAAUACUGGAAAGAAACAAGCUGCAGAAAUCAGAUAUCCAUGGUUGUUUUGGUGAGUAACGUGCAUGUCUUGUGGAUUGUGUAAUGCAUUUUUUGGGUUUUUUUUUUUUUUUUUUUGAAUGCUUGCCCUAAGACAGGAGGCCUACAUUUGUCUGCCUGCCUUGUGCAGCAUGCUUGUGUUUUUGCAUGUACGUUUCUAGAUGUCAAGAGCUGCAACAGAAAGGUUUUGGGAGGGAUAAAAAGCAGAAACAGGAGAGGAAGAUGAUGAGCAGAAGGGAGGUGGUAAGGGAGGCACUUACACAACUGCUCUCCUGAUGACUGUUUCCUGUGUUUUGGCCAGAAAGGAGAAAAGUGCAUCAAAGAAUGGCAAAGCCAACAGGUGUCUGAAGGCUCCUCAGCAGUGGAGCCAAAUUUCCCUGCUUCACAGGCAAAGCGAGACUCAAGAGUGCUAUCACAUGGCAGCUGAGCCAAACCUAAUGAAUUGCUAGUAUCAAAAAGGACAGCCCUACUGCUCUCUUUUUGUGCAGGUCUGGUGCUUGUCUGACCCUUUGAUGAAUUUAUGCAGCUCAAUAAACUUUAAGAAAAUGAAUUCAGCAAAAAAUAGCGAAGCUAUCAGUCCAGGAAGGGAGGAGGGGAGAUACUGUGAGAGUCAAACCUGGAACUGCAGUGGUGGGGAGAGGUAUGGAUGUCAGAUUUUUGCUGCAGAUUUGGGGUGUGCUGGAGGAUGCCCUGCUGCUACCCUAUACUUAACCUCCCUCUUCAUCUCCUAGGUUGUGCCUUCCCUCAGAAGAGGACACGCUGAAUACGGAGUGAUUAAGACAGAUGCCUGGACAGGUGAAGGGAGGUGUUCCAGCAGUGGCAGUGCACACAGCAGAGGAGGGAACAAAUUGCUGCAAGACUGCAGGAGCCCAGGAGGAUGUUGCCAUGGGCAUAUGUUUAUCCAAAUUGGGUUUUGAUAAGAAGACUGCAGCUGGAUCUUUAUUAUCUGAGACAAGUGGCGAUAUUAGCUGUUCAGAGUUCAUGAUGGAAAUGUAUCUGCAUACUGGCGUGCAUCCAGCUGCACUUCACAAAGGUAAGUGGGACAUGAGAGUGCUGCAUUGCUCUUCUUUAACCCAUUUGCUGUAGAAGGGGGUACUGUGCCUCUCUGCAGGAAAGGCUGGUGGAACUACUGUGCUAAUAAACACACAUUUCUUGCUGCAGCAUAUGGGCUUCCCAGAUUCAUAAACCCAAGCAAUUCAUAGAUGAAUUACAAUUAAAUAUCCACACACACUUCCGUACUGCAGCCUAACAUGAGAGGCAUAGGCCUAAGUGUCUGGGCAUCUGCUGUCUGCUCUCCUGCACACACUGCUUGGCAGAGCACAGCCCCUUAAUCUUACUCCACCUCCAUUAAUUGUACCUUCAAAAUCAGAUGCACAGUGUCAUUCUAUAGAUGUUUUGCCAUGUUCUUCCAAGAGCAGCAUUCUCUCCUGCUCUCUCUUUUCCCUUUCCUUCUUCUUCCUUUUAUUUAUUUAUUGGACUGGAUGAUCCUGUGGGUCUUUUCCAACCUUAGCGAUUCUAUGAUUCUAUGAUUUGUUUGUUUGUUUGUUUGUUUAUUUAAGCAGCCCUUAUUGUCAAAUAGUCAGAAAUACUUUCAUUGCUGCUGGUCUUUUUGCCAAAAGAUUUCCAGGCCAAAGGUUCACUUGGGCUCUGAUAAUGACAGUGGGAAAUGAGGGCACCGAUGGAUCCCCACAACAAUUUUGUGUCACUUGUACAAGACCCAUAGGCUCAGUACUGUAGUAAGAUAAUGUAGCACUUGAUUACAAUGGAUGUAUUGCACUUACAGAAGGCAUCUUGUCGUGGGGCUCUGCAUAUCUGAAGUAAUAACCGCUGAUGUCAGAAUAACUCUGGCUCAAUACUUGCAUCAUCCAUAGCUUGUUUACAGAAUUGGAAGUCUUGAGCAAAGCGAAGCUGACUCGUGGAGAAGCUGGUUUUCAAAAGAUACAAGCUCCAGAUAACUAAGGACAAGUGAAGCACACAACAAUAUAGAAAUCACUCGGUUUUACUGCAGCCAACUGAGACAAAGUGUGCUUUGAAGCUGGGAAAUUUCCAUUACUGAAGUGCAGGACAGUGCCUGGAUACUGCUGCUACUGCAGCUGAGAAAUAAAAGCAACUUAAUUUUACAUAGCAGCAAAAUGUCAGUAUGUUAAUUACAACUGUUAGAGUUUUAUAAGAUUUUAAGGAUGCCGUAAAAUGGAUUCCUUCUAAAAUAUUUAGGAUAUAAUUGUAAAUGACUUCUCUAAAACUAAGGAGCAUUAAAAGGACUUGAAAUUGUACCUAAGUUUUCAAGCUGUAUCAUAUUUGUGAACAUCAGAUCUGACAAGAACAUGACACGACAUCCCCUACGACAGUGACAGUGUGACAGCGGCAGAACGACAUCCAGUGUGAGUCCAAGGUUGUUACGGACAGCGUAGUUCUGCAGUUAAGGACUGUUUUUGCUCUCCGUGGGGUGCUCAAAACAAAUAUAGCUAUCUGUUCACCACUUUUAAGUCCAUAAUCUAUAAACCACCAUAAGCUUCCUGUAAAGUCAGUCAGAAUGCUGAGC